GUAAUCUUAAGGACUUCUGCUGCGAAAUGAGAGUGGCCAUAGAGGGCUACAACAUGGUGGACCUUGUUGCCUUUUGGAGUGACUUAGUAGCCGUUUUCUUCAUCCCUUUUCAAAUGAUCACCAAGUAGCAAAUUGGCAUCUCCAAUAUUGCCUCUCAUCACAGCAUUAUACAGGGUUAGAUCCAUUCCUUUUGAUUUGGAGUUUUAUCCAAGAUCUCCC
RNAcentral lists this long non-coding RNA (219 nucleotides) under Capsicum annuum. RNAcentral describes it as "long non-coding RNA (CANN_LNC018270)". The record is from RNAcentral. Lineage: Eukaryota; Viridiplantae; Streptophyta; Magnoliopsida; Solanales; Solanaceae.